RNAcentral lists this transfer RNA (69 nucleotides) under Paratelmatobius cf. segallai MTS-2020. RNAcentral's name for it is "tRNA-Val". It matches the Rfam family "tRNA". From Rfam's summary of the family: Transfer RNA (tRNA) molecules are approximately 80 nucleotides in length. The record is from RNAcentral. Lineage: Eukaryota; Metazoa; Chordata; Amphibia; Anura; Leptodactylidae.
CGUCAUAUAGCUUAAUUAAAGCACCUCGCUUACAUCGAGAGAAUACUUGUGAAAAUCAAGUUAUUUCGA